CACACAUACAUAUAUAUAUACACAUACAUAUAUAUAUACAUACAUAUAUGUGUGUGUGUGUGUGUGUGUGUGUGUGUG
Molecule: microRNA precursor, 78 nt
Filed under: Podarcis lilfordi (Lilford's wall lizard)
Lineage: Eukaryota; Metazoa; Chordata; Lepidosauria; Squamata; Lacertidae
Source: RNAcentral